Long non-coding RNA from Coregonus clupeaformis (lake whitefish), 2130 nucleotides. RefSeq lists it as uncharacterized. The transcript has 6 exons. The record is from RefSeq and is a predicted model, not a curated record. NCBI's taxonomy places the organism in Eukaryota, Metazoa, Chordata, Actinopteri, Salmoniformes, Salmonidae.
AUCACAGGCAGAUUUUGUCAUGUCUGCUGCAAAUUCUCUCUAAAGAUGUUGAAUAUUUCAGUAUUUACCAUCUUCUUUUGCUCCUCUAGUACACACAGUCCCAGGAAGAAACUGAAACCCAGUAAGUAUACCAGGAGGAAUGUGGUGUCAUAAUCACCUAAAUGCUUUACUUGUCAUUACUUGGGUGUUUUGGCAAUGAACUGUGUUCUUUGUGCUUUUCUCCCAACAGUUAUCAAUAAUAUUUUGACAUAUAACAAUGAUUUUCCUUUUGAUGUGCAGCCAGUGCCCUUGAGGUAAAUUCUGAUCUGUGAACCAUCCCAAUGCAGGCUACUUACUGAUGUACCCAAUGUAGAGACGCACACAAAACCCGUUUUUGGUUUGAGUGCACAAUAAUCAGAACAAUUCAGAGCAAAUUAUGCAGUAGAACAAUGGCUGCCCCAGCUGAAUGCUCUAAUCUAAUGUUAUGUGUUUUGUUACUAUAUCCUAACAACAUGCUGAGCCUGUAAACAUUCAAAACAAGUUAUGGACAAUAAAGUAAUCUAACUAAUGAAAUCUUAAAUUCAGGAGAAUCCUUGCUCCAGGUGAGGAGGAGAACCUGGAGGUGGAGGAGGAGAGGAUGCUGCUACAGGAACAGGCUACCCAGUCCUUACCCAACAGAGUGCCAGCUUUGUGGCCCUGUUUUGAGGGCCUUUGUGAUUGCAGUCUCCUCUGUCGCCCUACUCUGUCCAUGCUGUGCAUGGCUUCAUCGCGCCAUUCACAGCUUUGCAAGGUACAUUGUUGCCACGGCUACACUCUCAGCCAGGAAUGUCGCUGCUCAUGAUAAAGAUUGACAUGAUUGGGCUGAAAGAUGCAGGGCAAUGCAUUGAUCCCUAUAUAACCGUUAGUGUGAAAGAUUUGAGUGGCAUUGAUUUGAACCCAGUGCAGGACACUCCUGUGGCGACCCGAAAGGAAGACACCUACAUUCACUUCAGUGCAGAUAUCAAGAUCCAGAGACAUAUCGAGAGACUAAAAAUGGGAAGCGAUUUUCUUUGAGUUCAAGCACUAUAAACCCAAGAAGAGGUUUACCAGCACAACAUGUUUUGCCUUCAUGGAAAUGGAUGAGAUCAAACCUGGUCCCAUUGUGAUCGAGCUAUACAAGAAGCCUGCUGACUUCAAGAGGAAGAAGCUUUAUCUCCACCUCCACCAGACGCUGCAUAAAGACUAAUAAUCGAGAACACUGGAUGGGGCACAUCAAGAAGUAGACGCACCAAUUUCUACGCUGAAUUCCACUGCAGUGCAGUCAUCAGACAUCCAGCAGUUUGGUGUACCUACAGCCUAUCUGCCUCCACUCACAUCAGCAAUACUAAACCCAGCAGGCCCAAGGCCACGCCCUUAACUCUGUGACAGGAUGGUCUUCUUUGGAUGAUACAUUAACUAUACAACGCCCUGUAAGACCCCCAACGCUUCCUUUCUCCUUGACGUUCAAUGGAAAAAAAGAGUGGCGAGUUAGCAAUUGGUUAUGUCAGUCAACAAGCAGAAAAACUACAACCAUGCUCGUCUUUAGUCUUCGUCUGCCUUUCCCUUUGGGGGCCAAAGAGGUGGAGUAAUAAUUUGGUGGGUGCUUAUAUUUGUCCUAUUUCACACAUGUACAAGUGUGUAUUAAAAUGCAUAUGUGAAUUGGAAAUAUGUUUUUUAAAAUAUCCCACUCUCCCUGAAACACCAUCGGAGAGUGGGGUCAUGGCCAGGGUCUGCCAUUAUCAACGGUGACCCUGGCGCAAUUAGGGUUAAGUGCCUUGCUCAAGGGCAACUGGAUCUGAACUAGCGACCUUUUGCUUACUGGCCCAACGCUCUAACCGCUAGGCUAUCUGCCGGAACAACAUGGUCAUUCAAAAAGGAUUCUGAAAUGCUAAUUAUGAUGUCACCCUGUUGUAAAGGGCUUUGAAAAGAGACACCGCAUGUAACUGAAGUUGAUUUCUAACUUUGUUUUUAAUGCUGUUCCCAUCAAGGCCACAAUGGAUAAGUGCUAUUAAAACAUUGGCUGUAACUGUAGACGAGAGCAGGGGUUCCCCAAAGGUUUUCACUCAGGCCCCCCCUUCCAGCAUUGAGGAACAUCCCUCGCACCAUGUCUAUUUCUAUGGGCACAAGACAUUG